GACGAACCGUGCGAACGUUGUUCGGAAUCACUGGGCUUAAAGGGCGCGUAGGCGGGCUGUCAAGUCUGGGGUGAAAUGCUGCGGCUCAACCGUAGAACUGCCUUAGAUACUGACGGCCUCGAGGGAGGUAGGGGCAUGCGGAACUGUAGGUGGAGCGGUGAAAUGCGUAGAGAUGGGUAGGAACACCGGUGGCGAAGGCGGUCUUCUGGGACGCCCUUGACGCUGAGGCGCGAAAGCUGGGGGAGCGAACGGG
Molecule: ribosomal RNA, 253 nt
Filed under: uncultured bacterium
Lineage: Bacteria
Description: partial 16S ribosomal RNA
Rfam family: Bacterial small subunit ribosomal RNA
Source: RNAcentral